AUCGCUUCUUGGCCUUUUGGCUAAGAUCAAGUGUACUUCUUUAUAUAUUUAAAAUGAUUAGUCAAGACUUAUUGUAUAUAAACUGUGGUUAGGGUCACAGUCAUUUUUGUACAGUCAUCAAGAAAUUAACACUAAAUUCUGGGAAACUGCCUUCCU
This is a small nuclear RNA of Heterocephalus glaber (naked mole-rat), 156 nucleotides long. Its record names the gene U2. It matches the Rfam family "U2 spliceosomal RNA". Rfam says of the family: U2 is a small nuclear RNA (snRNA) component of the spliceosome (involved in pre-mRNA splicing). The record is from Ensembl. Lineage: Eukaryota; Metazoa; Chordata; Mammalia; Rodentia; Bathyergidae.